Molecule: ribosomal RNA, 253 nt
Filed under: uncultured organism
Description: partial 16S ribosomal RNA
Rfam family: Bacterial small subunit ribosomal RNA
Source: RNAcentral
UACAGAGACCUCAAGCAUUAUCCGGAUUUAUUGGGCGUAAAGGGUCCGCAGGUGGCCUUGUACGUCUCGCGUUAAAUACCAAGGCUCAACUUUGGCACCGCGCGAGAUACGGCUCGGCUAGAGAACGGGAGAGGCAAGCAGAAUUACUGGUGUAGUAGUAAAAUGCGUUAAUAUCAGUAAGAAUACCAAAUGCGAAGGCAACUUGCUGGAACGUUUCUGACACUCAGGGACGAAAGCGUGGGUAGCGAAAGGG